Long non-coding RNA from Larimichthys crocea (large yellow croaker), 2562 nucleotides. RefSeq lists it as uncharacterized. The record is from RefSeq and is a predicted model, not a curated record. The transcript is spliced from 3 exons. Lineage: Eukaryota; Metazoa; Chordata; Actinopteri; Sciaenidae.
UCUCAUUGGCCACCCCUGCGGCCACCCCAGAUCUGAUAGGUAGUUGGUCAAGUUCGUCAACACGAGAAACAAGAGAAAUGCUGUCAAUCAAUGAUGACAGCCGAUCAACUGAUUCAGAGCCAGAUUUACAUUUUGAAGUAUCACAGUAAUGGUCAUACUGAGGCUGUGACAGCUGAUCUCUGUUCAGCGUACGUUUGGCCAAUGGCCAGACAGGUCAAGUGUCAGGUGACCGAUGAAACGCACAACGUUACUGCUGCAGCUGCUGAAGAGGUCCGUGAAAGGAGCUUCAACUACUGGAUAAACCGGUGAAAUCCGUCGGAGGCUUUUGUUGGCAUGUCUGCUCUCCAAGGGGCGACCAGAUGUGAGGCUAUGGAGGGAUUGAAGAUAACUGCAAGCGUGUUUUGGUCUGCUUCUUAUCUUAAUGAAUCCAAGUCUAUCUAAGACCAAAGAAGAAGAGGGAACGCCGCUCUCCCACAUCACCAAUGACCCAAAGUUCAAGAGCUACAAGGGCAGCUUUGUUUUGAGCAGCUGCUCUGGUUGGAUACAAUGCAGAACAGGGGAACUGUAGAGAUCUGUGGAUUUGUCACUAAGUGACUUUACAGAUGGUAAAUUUGACCAAAAACACCUAUAAAUAUGUUUAUUAGUGCAGAUUUAAAUACUCAAGUUAGCCUAGAUACCUCCAGCGAGUUGUGGGAAAAUGUGGAAAAACACUAAAAAGAUAAUAGAAGUGGAUAGUAAUAAUAUAAAUCAGAAAGCUGCUUUUGGAUUCCUCUGAUCAUCAUGAAUUGAUGAUCUUUAAAAGUGAGUAUUCAGUAGUAUUUUAUAUUAAGUUGUUGAAAAUUGAAAUUAUUACCAUCUCAAUCUUUUUUUGUUAGACUGCAGAGUGAAAUAAGCAUAAAAAUAAAAAACAGAUGUCUCAUAAAUGUUGCUCCUUAACUUGUUUUUAAGUUUGCUGCUAAAAUUUAGAAGGUCAGUUUCAUAUCGCUCUCAAAUAAAUGGGAUAUUUGUCACAAACAGCCACUUUCAUAAAGAGCUGUUUUGUUGUUUUGCUGUCUUUAUGUAGCAUAAAGGUGUGAACAUGACAGGAAAUAAACUUUUCAUUUCAUCAGUUACAGCACCUGCAGAUGUUAAAAAAUUCUAUUUUCAGACAUACACAAAGAGAAAAUUCAUAAAAAAAAAUGUCUUUAACAUUGUAUUUAAUUUGUAUUGUCAUUUUUUUUAUGUGACAGACCUCUUACAGUGUAAUCUAAGUAAAAAGUCACAUUAUUCUGGAAAUUCUUGUGACCAUGAAAAACCUGGUGCUGAGUUGUUCAAAUUGUUGUUGUGCUGUCUGGUUCUCUGGCUUUUGAAGGACAUGAAACAUUUGCUCUCACCAAGACCAAAUUCAGUCCAUAAAAAUCAUCAAAAGGACCAUGUGGACGCUGGCAUGCAAGCCAGACCGGAUGGACCCACUUAGAAAAAAAGUGAGUGUAUUAACAGCACAUUGUUUAGAUGCUGCUCGGAGUCCAAGGCUAUAAAUGAGUUUAGAUUUAUUCUCAGCGGCAGAACUGCUUCCAGUCUGUCUGUGUAGUCAGAGACAGACACAGUCACAGAGCCUAAUUUAUACACGUGUAGUUUUUACCAACGAGUGUCAUGGUUUUAUGCUAGUUGUAGUGCAGUAAUUCUUGUUCUUUUGUGCUUCAUUUAAGGAGGACGAAGCCACAUACAGUACUGUACACUGAACACUUUGAAACAGAUUAAACUGAAUCGGAAACAAGUGAAGCUGUCAGAUCUUUCACUUUUAAGAAUAUUGUCAAUUUACAACUGAAUAACAAAAAGGGGCACUUUUUGCAGUGCACUGUCUGCUACAUGUCAGUGUCCUCUUUUGUUGUGGAGUACAUUCUCCUCAGGGAAUAAUGAGCAUGAGGCGAUCAGACAGACAGCAAAGCUGGUUUCUCUCUCUGAAGUUUGUGCCAGAAACGCACAUCCUCGUUACACUGGUCCACAGCUACUGGGAACAUAAAGUUCCCGACUUUGGCUUUUUUUUUUCUUUUUCUUUUUGGAGCCAUUGUGUUUGCAUCACUCUCUAACCCCUAAAACCUUCAAGUGUAUAAUUGAGUGGUUACAGAAUAUUUUCAUUAAGUCAGAAGUCGCUGUCCAGCUCUGGCAGGCAGAACGUCUCUGCUCUCAGUCUAGUGUACUUCAAAGUUCUCUUGAAACUUAGCUCUGUGUUUAUUUCUGUCAGUCUUGAAGCCUGUGUAAUCAACAGGGAAUUGGCUUGAAGGUCUUAAAGGGUCCACUUUGAAAUAGAUCAGUACCCGCUUACAUCAACCCUCACUCUGGAUAUGAGAGGUGCAGACAUAAAUUUCGCAUUGGACAGUGAAUAAAAUGAUUAUGAAUUUUCAACAUUUUGAUCUAAGCAUUGAGAAUGGAUAAAAGGCGCAGUCCAAAUGCAUCUGAAAAAGGAGCUUACAUUUUCUAUAUUAUUAAACCUAAGUCAGCCUUUGAUCUUUUAAUCCUGUGCUCAUAAGGUUGUGAGAUAAGCAGGCAUGACUAACGUCUCUUUCUAAUAGUCAAGAAAGA